Molecule: long non-coding RNA, 640 nt
Organism: Leopardus geoffroyi (Geoffroy's cat)
Lineage: Eukaryota; Metazoa; Chordata; Mammalia; Carnivora; Felidae
Exons: 3
Source: RefSeq, a predicted model, not a curated record
CGGGUGGCCGGGUUGGGAGAAGCCCCGGCGGAGCCCCGCGGCGGGGAAGGACGAGGCGGCGAGGACGCGUGGCGGCGGCCUCCUUGUCGGCAGCGCGUUCCCCCACCCACGUGGGUGCCUGGGACCCUGGCUUGUUGGCGCGGCUGCCCUUCCGCCGCCACCCAGCCUCCGGCCGCCUGAUACGGGGCCAGGCGCGGAGUCGCCCCGAAGCUUCCACAUUGAGCAUGGAACCCAACCCAUUCUGCUCCAAUGGAGCCGACCCCGUUGGAGUCCAACGCGGAGGUUCUGACUGGGGCAGGCCUUGCAGUUAAGAACUUGGACUCUGGAAUCGGAAAGCCUGGCCCCAGAGCCCACGACCGCUGCUUAUGAUCUAGUAGCUUCCGGCAAAGUCCUGAACCUCUCGUGGUCUACUGGCCACGACAGGAAACAGGCCAAGAGUGAGGAACUAACUAGCUUGCCAAGUCACGGGCUGAGUAAGCGAUUUGAAUCUUUGAAUCGAGGUGCGUUUGACUCUUGUCUCCUAAGAUAGGACUAGAUCGAGGGGAGAGAGGGCAUUCCAGGUAAACUGUGCAGCCGGGAAGCAGCUCCAGCCUGAAGUUAAGUGCUUGUGUGGGACGAGGGGGUAACUGGACUAGGGGAG